RNAcentral lists this ribosomal RNA (253 nucleotides) under uncultured bacterium. RNAcentral's name for it is "partial 16S ribosomal RNA". It matches the Rfam family "Bacterial small subunit ribosomal RNA", at positions 524 to 776 of the family's 1533-position model. The record is from RNAcentral.
UACGUAGGUGGCAAGCGUUGUCCGGAUUUACUGGGCGUAAAGAGCGCGCAGGCGGUCGUUCAAGUCGCGUGUGAAAGCCCCCGGCUCGACUGGGGAGGGUCACGCGAUACUGAUCGACUCGAAGGCAGGAGAGGGAAGUGGAAUUCCCGGUGUAGUGGUGAAAUGCGUAGAUAUCGGGAGGAACACCAGUGGCGAAGGCGACUUCCUGGCCUGUUCUUGACGCUGAGGCGCGAAAGCUAGGGGAGCAAACGGG